UCUGGAAUCGAAAGUUAGAAGCUCAGAUUCGAUGUUUUGGAAAUCCAUUUGUAUGUUGAUGCUAGAGGUGAUGGAUAAUAUGUCAAUUAAAGUUCGAGAGGGAGUUGUUUCAUUUUGGUUUGAUUGAUGGUUAGCACGAAGGCCCCUUGCGGCUAGUGUACCAAGUGUUAUUUAGCCUAGGUUGUAGGUGAAAGAUUGUUGGGUGGAUGAUAAGUGGGAUAGGGAUAUGUUGACUAAUCUGAUUGAUGCUAGAGAUGUAAAUGAUAUUAUUUCUGAAAUUCCAGGUAGAAGACUUGGACAAGAUAUCCUGAUUUGGCACCUUUGUGUGGAUGGGAGUUUUUCUACGAAAAUGGCUUGGGAAGUUACUUGUACUAAGCAGCCACAGUUUGAAGGUUUGGAUUAGAUUUGGUGUAAUAUGCUUCAGAAGAAAAUGUCUGUUUGUAUGUGGAAGACUAGAUUUAAUUACCUUCUAGUUGAGGAAAGAGUUCAGUUGGUGGGUAUUCCUUUAGCAUUUUGUUGUGUUUGUUGUUGAAUGGAUAUUUUGAAAAAUCGCAACCAUGUUUUAUGUACGGGAGCUGUGUGGCAAAGAGCUACUUGCAUGUUGGGUGUUCAGUGCAAGACGUUCAAUAGUUGGUGGUGCAAUGUUGCUAUUAGUUCUAGUGUGCCAAGAAGUCGACGCAGUGAGGUGAUAUCUAGUUUUCAUUACAUGUUGUCUCAUCAAUUUAGGAAGGAGAAUAAAGUGGCGGAUAUUUUAGCAAGAUAGGGAGAAGAGGGGUUAAAUUGUAUAUAUAUGGCUUUGAUGAAUUGCCCCUUCAUGUCAGAUGUUUGCUUCGUUUGGAUCUUCUUGGUUUGCCUAGUAUUAGGCCAUGAUUCUUGUACAGUUUUUUGGUUUAUUGUUUAAUUGUUUAGUUUAUUGUAUAGGUGUAUUUGUUAAAGUUUUUCUUGAUACAUGAGAUGGUUUUAUUCUGAUUAUUUAUAAAUCUCAAGUAUCUUGCUUGUUA
Molecule: long non-coding RNA, 1001 nt
Organism: Carya illinoinensis
Lineage: Eukaryota; Viridiplantae; Streptophyta; Magnoliopsida; Fagales; Juglandaceae
Exons: 2
Source: RefSeq, a predicted model, not a curated record